GGAGAGGUGGCCGAGCUGGUUUAAGGCGCACGCUUGGAAAGCGUGUGUGCAGCAAUGUACCCAGGGUUCGAAUCCCUGCCUCUCCGCCA
This 89-nucleotide transfer RNA is filed under the name Candidatus Aadella gelida. RNAcentral's name for it is "tRNA-Ser". It matches the Rfam family "tRNA". Rfam says of the family: Transfer RNA (tRNA) molecules are approximately 80 nucleotides in length. Their secondary structure includes four short double-helical elements and three loops (D, anti-codon, and T loops). The record is from RNAcentral. Lineage: Bacteria; Pseudomonadati; Candidatus Omnitrophota.